This 97-nucleotide signal recognition particle RNA is filed under the name Acidomonas methanolica. RNAcentral describes it as "signal recognition particle sRNA small type". It matches the Rfam family "Bacterial small signal recognition particle RNA". From Rfam's summary of the family: The signal recognition particle (SRP) is a universally conserved ribonucleoprotein involved in the co-translational targeting of proteins to membranes. Archaeal SRP consists of a 7S RNA and homologues of the eukaryotic SRP19 and SRP54 proteins. The record is from RNAcentral. RNAcentral also lists the same sequence under 1 other name. Lineage: Bacteria; Pseudomonadati; Pseudomonadota; Alphaproteobacteria; Acetobacterales; Acetobacteraceae.
GGAGAUCGGCCUUGGACGGGCGUCUUGCGAAUCCGGUCAGGUCCGGAAGGAAGCAGCCGCAGUGAGUUUUGCCCGGGUCAUGUGUUCGGUCUCCCAC